RNAcentral lists this ribosomal RNA (493 nucleotides) under uncultured bacterium. RNAcentral describes it as "partial 16S ribosomal RNA". It matches the Rfam family "Bacterial small subunit ribosomal RNA", at positions 32 to 507 of the family's 1533-position model. The record is from RNAcentral.
AACGCUGGCGGCGUGCCUAAUACAUGCAAGUCGAGCGAACAGACGAGGAGCUUGCUCCUCUGACGUUAGCGGCGGACGGGUGAGUAACACGUGGAUAACCUACCUAUAAGACUGGGUUACCUUGGGGAAACGGGACCAAUUCCCGAUAAUAUUAUUAAACCCAAGGGUUAAUUGUUGAAAGAGGGUUUUCCUGUCACUUAUGAAUGGUCCCGCGCCGCAUUAGCUAGUUGGUAAGGUAACGGCUUACCAAGGCGACGAUGCGUAGCCGACCUGAGAGGGUGAUCGGCCACACUGGAACUGAGACACGGUCCAGACUCCUACGGGAGGCAGCAGUAGGGAAUCUUCCGCAAUGGGCGAAAGCCUGACGGAGCAACGCCGCGUGAGUGAUGAAGGUCUUCGGAUCGUAAAACUCUGUUAUUAGGGAAGAACAAAUGUGUAAGUAACUAUGCACGUCUUGACGGUACCUAAUCAGAAAGCCACGGCUAACUACGUG